GUCAGACACGACUGAAUGACUGAACUGAGCUGAACAGGGCAAACACUAGAUUUAUCUUUCAAAAAGGAUUUCUGCUCUGGAGGCCCUAUUUCUAGUCUGAAAGCUCUGCAAGUCAAAGGGCAGAAAGGAAUCUUUCCUGUAAACAUCCGCUAGGCCACUCCCGGAAAAGGUCAUUCCUUCACUACUCUCCUGAAGCCAGAAUUUCC
This is a long non-coding RNA of Bos indicus x Bos taurus (hybrid cattle), 206 nucleotides long. The record is from Ensembl. NCBI's taxonomy places the organism in Eukaryota, Metazoa, Chordata, Mammalia, Artiodactyla, Bovidae.